CCUACGGGGAGGCAGCAGUGGGGAAUAUUGGACAAUGGGCGAAAGCCUGAUCCAGCCAUGCCGCGUGUGUGAAGAAGGCCUUCGGGUUGUAAAGCACUUUCAGUGGGGAAGAAAGCCUUGGGGCUAAUACCCUCGAGGAAGGACAUCACCCACAGAAGAAGCACCGGCUAACUCCGUGCCAGCAGCCGCGGUAAUACGGAGGGUGCGAGCGUUAAUCGGAAUUACUGGGCGUAAAGCGCGCGUAGGCGGUCUGAUAAGCCGGUUGUGAAAGCCCCGGGCUCAACCUGGGAACGGCAUCCGGAACUGUCAGGCUAGAGUGCAGGAGAGGAAGGUAGAAUUCCCGGUGUAGCGGUGAAAUGCGUAGAGAUCGGGAGGAAUACCAGUGGCGAAGGCGGCCUUCUGGACUGACACUGACGCUGAGGUGCGAAAGCGUGGGUAGCAAACAGGAUUAGAUACCCCAGUAGUC
This 466-nucleotide ribosomal RNA is filed under the name Vreelandella stevensii. RNAcentral's name for it is "partial 16S ribosomal RNA". It matches the Rfam family "Bacterial small subunit ribosomal RNA", at positions 338 to 795 of the family's 1533-position model. Lineage: Bacteria; Pseudomonadati; Pseudomonadota; Gammaproteobacteria; Oceanospirillales; Halomonadaceae. The record is from RNAcentral.